This 465-nucleotide ribosomal RNA is filed under the name Vreelandella stevensii. RNAcentral describes it as "partial 16S ribosomal RNA". It matches the Rfam family "Bacterial small subunit ribosomal RNA", at positions 338 to 795 of the family's 1533-position model. Lineage: Bacteria; Pseudomonadati; Pseudomonadota; Gammaproteobacteria; Oceanospirillales; Halomonadaceae. The record is from RNAcentral.
CCUACGGGGGGCAGCAGUGGGGAAUAUUGGACAAUGGGGGCAACCCUGAUCCAGCCAUGCCGCGUGUGUGAAGAAGGCCCUCGGGUUGUAAAGCACUUUCAGUGAGGAAGAACGCCUGGUGGUUAAUACCCAUCAGGAAAGACAUCACUCACAGAAGAAGCACCGGCUAACUCCGUGCCAGCAGCCGCGGUAAUACGGAGGGUGCGAGCGUUAAUCGGAAUUACUGGGCGUAAAGCGCGCGUAGGUGGCUUGAUAAGCCGGUUGUGAAAGCCCCUGGCUCAACCUGGGAACGGCAUCCGGAACUGUCAAGCUAGAGUGCAGGAGAGGAAGGUAGAAUUCCCGGUGUAGCGGUGAAAUGCGUAGAGAUCGGGAGGAAUACCAGUGGCGAAGGCGGCCUUCUGGACUGACACUGACACUGAGGUGCGAAAGCGUGGGUAGCAAACAGGAUUAGAUACCCUUGUAGUC